CCUACGGGAGGCAGCAGUAGGGAAUCUUCCGCAAUGGACGAAAGUCUGACGGAGCAACGCCGCGUGAACGAUGAAGGCCUUCGGGUCGUAAAGUUCUGUUGUUAGGGAAGAACAAGUGUUAGUUGAAUAAGCUGGCACCUUGACGGUACCUAACCAGAAAGCCACGGCUAACUACGUGCCAGCAGCCGCGGUAAUACGUAGGUGGCAAGCGUUGUCCGGAAUUAUUGGGCGUAAAGCGCGCGCAGGCGGUUUCUUAAGUCUGAUGUGAAAGCCCCCGGCUCAACCGGGGAGGGUCAUUGGAAACUGGGAAACUUGAGUGCAGAAGAGGAAAGUGGAAUUCCAAGUGUAGCGGUGAAAUGCGUAGAGAUUUGGAGGAACACCAGUGGCGAAGGCGACUUUCUGGUCUGUAACUGACGCUGAGGCGCGAAAGCGUGGGGAGCAAACAGGAUUAGAUACCCUGGUAGUCCACGCUGUAAACGAUGAGUGCUAAGUGUUAGAGGGUUUCCGCCUUUAGUGCUGAAGUUAACGCAUUAAGCACUCCGCCUGGGGAGUACGGUCGCAAAGCUGAAACUUAAAUGAAUUGACGNUUGAGAGNGCGAGNGACGACGAGGAGAG
RNAcentral lists this ribosomal RNA (615 nucleotides) under uncultured bacterium. RNAcentral's name for it is "bacterial SSU rRNA". It matches the Rfam family "Bacterial small subunit ribosomal RNA", at positions 338 to 944 of the family's 1533-position model. The record is from RNAcentral.